Molecule: ribosomal RNA, 252 nt
Filed under: uncultured bacterium
Lineage: Bacteria
Description: partial 16S ribosomal RNA
Rfam family: Bacterial small subunit ribosomal RNA
Source: RNAcentral
UACGGAGGAUGCGAGCGUUAUCCGGAUUUAUUGGGUUUAAAGGGUGCGUAGGCGGACUGUCAAGUCAGCGGUAAAAUUGAGAGGCUCAACCUCUUCCCGCCGUUGAAACUGGUGGUCUUGAGUGGAUGAGAAGUACGCGGAAUGCGUGGUGUUGCGGUGAAAUGCAUAGAUAUCACGCAGAACUCCGAUUGCGAAGGCAGCGUACCGGCAUCCAACUGACGCUGAGGCACGAAAGCGUGGGGAUCAAACAGG